RNAcentral lists this ribosomal RNA (253 nucleotides) under uncultured bacterium. RNAcentral's name for it is "partial 16S ribosomal RNA". It matches the Rfam family "Bacterial small subunit ribosomal RNA", at positions 524 to 776 of the family's 1533-position model. The record is from RNAcentral.
UACGUAGGGGGCAAGCGUUGUCCGGAUUUAUUGGGCGUAAAGAGCGUGUAGGCGGUCAGGUAGGUCCGUUGUGAAAACUCGAGGCUCAACCUCGAGACGCCGAUGGAAACCAUCUGACUAGAGUCCGGAAGAGGAGAGUGGAAUUCCUGGUGUAGCGGUGAAAUGCGCAGAUAUCAGGAGGAACACCGGUGGCGAAGGCGGUGGUCUGGGCCGGUACUGACGCUGAGGAGCGAAAGCGUGGGGAGCGAACAGG